AUGCACGCUAGCGGGAGGCCUAACACAUGCAAGCCGAGCGGUAUUGUUUCUUCGGAAAUGAGAGAGCGGCGUACGGGUGCGUAACACGUGUGCAACCUGCCUUUAUCUGGGGGAUAGCCUUUCGAAAGGAAGAUUAAUACUCCAUAAUAUAUUGAACGGCAUCGUUUAAUAUUGAAAGCUCCGGCGGAUAGAGAUGGGCACGCGCAAGAUUAGCUAGUUGGUGAGGUAACGGCUCACCAAGGCGAUGAUCUUUAGGGGGCCUGAGAGGGUGAUCCCCCACACUGGUACUGAGACACGGACCAGACUCCUACGGGAGGCAGCAGUGAGGAAUAUUGGUCAAUGGGUGCAAGCCUGAACCAGCCAUCCCGCGUGGAGGACGACUGCCCUAUGGGUUGUAAACUUCUUUUGUAUAGGGAUAAACCUACCCUCGAGAGGGUAGCUGAAGGUACUAUACGAAUAAGCACCGGCUAACUCCGUG
RNAcentral lists this ribosomal RNA (478 nucleotides) under uncultured bacterium. RNAcentral describes it as "partial 16S ribosomal RNA". It matches the Rfam family "Bacterial small subunit ribosomal RNA", at positions 29 to 507 of the family's 1533-position model. The record is from RNAcentral.